RNAcentral lists this ribosomal RNA (433 nucleotides) under uncultured bacterium. RNAcentral's name for it is "partial 16S ribosomal RNA". It matches the Rfam family "Bacterial small subunit ribosomal RNA", at positions 29 to 507 of the family's 1533-position model. The record is from RNAcentral.
AACGAACGCUGGCGGCAUGCCUAACACAUGCAAGUCGAACGAGACCUUCGGGUCUAGUGGCGCACGGGUGCGUAACGCGUGGGAACCUGCCCUUAGGUUCUGAAUAACUCCCCGAAAGGGGUUCUAAUACCGGAUAAUGUCUUCGGACCAAAGAUUUAUCGCCUUUGGAUGUGCCCGCGUUGGAUUAGCUAGUUGGUAGGUUAAAAGCCUACCAAGGCGACGAUCCAUAGCUGGUCUGAGAGGAUGAUCAGCCACACUGGGACUGAGACACGGCCCAGACUCCUACGGGAGGCAGCAGUGGGGAAUAGUGGACAAUGGGCGAAAGCCUGAUCCAGCAAUGCCGCGUGAGUGAUGAAGGACUUAGGGUUGUAAAGCUCCUUUACCCGGGAUGAUAAUGACAGUACCGGGAGAAUAAGCUCCGGCUAACUCCGUG